This 164-nucleotide ribosomal RNA is filed under the name uncultured bacterium. Its description in RNAcentral is "partial 16S rRNA". It matches the Rfam family "Bacterial small subunit ribosomal RNA", at positions 355 to 511 of the family's 1533-position model. The record is from RNAcentral.
UAGGGAAUCUUCCACAAUGGGCGAAAGCCUGAUGGAGCAGCGCCGCGUGUGUGAUGAAGGGUUUCGGCUCGUAAAACACUGUUGUAAGAGAAGAAUGACAUUGAGAGUAACUGUUCAAUGUGUGACGGUAUCUUACCAGAAAGGAACGGCUAAAUACGUACCAG